UACGUAUGGUGCAAGCGUUAUCCGGAUUUACUGGGUGUAAAGGGAGCGCAGGCGGCACGGCAAGCCUGAUGUGAAAGCCCGCGGCCCAACCGCGGGACUGCAUUGGGAACUACCGGGCUGGAGUGCCGGAGAGGUAGGCGGAAUUCCUAGUGUAGCGGUGAAAUGCAUAGAUAUUAGGAGGAACACCAGUGGCGAAGGCGGCCUACUGGACGGUGACUGACGCUGAGGCUCGAAAGCGUGGGGAGCAAACAGG
RNAcentral lists this ribosomal RNA (253 nucleotides) under uncultured bacterium. Its description in RNAcentral is "partial 16S ribosomal RNA". It matches the Rfam family "Bacterial small subunit ribosomal RNA", at positions 524 to 776 of the family's 1533-position model. The record is from RNAcentral.